GAUGAACGCUGCGGCGUGCCUAAUACAUGCAAGUCGAGCGAAUGGAUUAAGAGCUUGCUCUGGUGAAUUAGUGGCGAACGGGUGAGUAACACGUGAGUAACCUGCCCUUGACUCUGGGAUAACUGCUAGAAAUGGUAGCUAAUACCGGAUACGACCCUCGGAGGCAUCUUCAGGGGGUGGAAAGAAUUUCGGUCAAGGAUGGACUCGCGGCCUAUCAGCUAGUUGGUGAGGUAAUGGCUCACCAAGGCGACGACGGGUAGCCGGCCUGAGAGGGUGACCGGCCACACUGGGACUGAGACACGGCCCAGACUCCUACGGGAGGCGGCAGUGGGGAAUAUUGCACAAUGGGCGCAAGCCUGAUGCAGCAACGCCGCGUGAGGGAUGACGGCCUUCGGGUUGUAAACCUCUUUUAGUAGGGAAGAAGCGAAAGUGACGGUACCUGCAGAAAAAGCACCGGCUAACUACGUGCCAGCAGCCGCCGUAA
Molecule: ribosomal RNA, 484 nt
Filed under: uncultured bacterium
Lineage: Bacteria
Description: partial 16S ribosomal RNA
Rfam family: Bacterial small subunit ribosomal RNA
Source: RNAcentral